Cygnus olor (mute swan) is the source of this 364-nucleotide long non-coding RNA. RefSeq lists it as uncharacterized. Lineage: Eukaryota; Metazoa; Chordata; Aves; Anseriformes; Anatidae. The transcript has 3 exons. The record is from RefSeq and is a predicted model, not a curated record.
AAAAAGUAAUGCUCAUCCAUUUAACCUCAGAGAUGUCUGAUGGCACUUUCUGCAAUCAGCACUGACAGUUCAAGGAUGAAAGGUAAUGCCAGAGAGUGAGCAGGUCUGGGGAACAGAAGAAGGAUAGACAGACCUGGGAUUAUGCAGACAAGCAACCGGCAUACAGAACCCAGGCCAUGAUGUGGUUUGCCUGUCAGCUUUGCAUGUUUAGAUACAAUAAUUUCUCAACCACCUAAAGUGUGGAUUGUCAAAUUUCAGUGACUGAACUGUUCCUUGGCACUGUUUGAUGUGGUAAUGUGGAAGCAUACAUAGAGAUCCUCCUGGGCAAAGUCAGAGGCUGGUGACUCUCAAAGCUCUGCUGCCU